ACGAACGCUGGCGGCGUGCUUCACACCUGCAAGUCGCACGGAAAGGCCCUGCUUUUGUGGGGUGCUCGAGCGGCGAACGGGUGAGUAACACGUGAGUAACCUGCCCUUGACUUUGGGAUAACUUCAGGAAACUGGGGCUAAUACCGGAUAGGAGCUCCUGCUGCAUGGUGGGGGUUGGAAAGUUUCGGCGGUUGGGGAUGGACUCGCGGCUUAUCAGCUUGUUGGUGGGGUAGUGGCUUACCAAGGCUUUGACGGGUAGCCGGCCUGAGAGGGUGACCGGCCACAUUGGGACUGAGAUACGGCCCAGACUCCUACGGGAGGCAGCAGUGGGGAAUAUUGCACAAUGGGCGGAAGCCUGAUGCAGCAACGCCGCGUGCGGGAUGACGGCCUUCGGGUUGUAAACCGCUUUCGCCUGUGACGAAGCGUGAGUGACGGUAAUGGGUAAAGAAGCACCGGCUAACUACGUG
RNAcentral lists this ribosomal RNA (467 nucleotides) under uncultured bacterium. Its description in RNAcentral is "partial 16S ribosomal RNA". It matches the Rfam family "Bacterial small subunit ribosomal RNA", at positions 29 to 507 of the family's 1533-position model. The record is from RNAcentral.